AGCCUUCUGAAUCCAUGCUGAGAUUCUUUCAGAUACCAAACCACCAGGACUGAUGCGACUCCAAAGAUAAGCGAAACU
Schistosoma haematobium is the source of this 78-nucleotide non-coding RNA. Lineage: Eukaryota; Metazoa; Platyhelminthes; Trematoda; Strigeidida; Schistosomatidae. The record is from Rfam.